AUUCCAGCUCCAAUAGCGUAUAUUAAAGUUGUUGCAGUUAAAAAGCUCGUAGUCGGAUUUUGGCAUCACGCCGAACUGUCUGCCGAUUGGUAAGUACGGUUUGGCGGGUGCUUCCUUCCGGAGGCUCGUUCCCUUCUUCAUUGAAGGGUUCGUUGGUUCCGGGUCUUUUACUUUGAGAAAAUUAGAGUGUUCAAAGCAGGCCUAUGCUCUGAAUAGGUUAGCAUGGAAUAAUAGAAUAGGACUUUGGUUCUAUUUUGUUGGUUUCUAGGACCGAAGUAAUGAUUAACAGGGACAGUCAGGGGCACUCGUAUUCCGCCGAGAGAGGUGAAAUUCUCAGACCAGCGGAAGACGAACCACUGCGAAAGCAUUUGCCAGGGAUGUUUUCACCA
Molecule: ribosomal RNA, 389 nt
Filed under: Picozoa sp.
Lineage: Eukaryota; Picozoa
Description: partial small subunit ribosomal RNA
Rfam family: Eukaryotic small subunit ribosomal RNA
Source: RNAcentral